This 460-nucleotide ribosomal RNA is filed under the name uncultured bacterium. RNAcentral describes it as "partial 16S ribosomal RNA". It matches the Rfam family "Bacterial small subunit ribosomal RNA", at positions 338 to 795 of the family's 1533-position model. The record is from RNAcentral.
CCUACGGGUGGCAGCAGUGAGGAAUAUUGGUCAAUGGACGGAAGUCUGAACCAGCCAUGCCGCGUGCAGGAAGACUGCCCUAUGAGUUGUAAACUGCUUUUGUAUAAGGGUAAACUUGUCUACGUGUGUGCUGUUGUAAGUACUGUAUGAAUAAGGAUCGGCUAACUCCGUGCCAGCAGCCGCGGUAAUACGGAGGAUCCAAGCGUUAUCCGGAUUUAUUGGGUUUAAAGGGUGCGUAGGCGGAUUGAUAAGUCAGUUGUGAAAUGUUCGGGCUUAACCCGAGAAUUGCCGCUAAUACUGUUAGUCUAGAGAACAGAAGCGGUAGGCGGAAUGUGUGGUGUAGCGGUGAAAUGCUUAGAGAUCAUACAGAACACCGAUUGCGAAGGCAGCUUACCAAUCUAUAUCUGACAUUGAGGCACGAAAGCGUGGGGAGCAAACAGGAUUAGAUACCCUUGUAGUC